GAUGAACGCUAGCUACAGGCUUAACACAUGCAAGUCGAGGGGAAACGACAUCGAAAGCUUGCUUUUGAUGGGCGUCGACCGGCGCACGGGUGAGUAACGCGUAUCCAACCUGCCCACCACUUGGGGAUAACCUUGCGAAAGUAAGACUAAUACCCGAUGAUAUCCCUAGACGACAUCUGAAAGGGAUUAAAGAUUUAUCGGUGAUGGAUGGGGAUGCGUCUGAUUAGCUUGUUGGCGGGGUAACGGCCCACCAAGGCAACGAUCAGUAGGGGUUCUGAGAGGAAGGUCCCCCACAUUGGAACUGAGACACGGUCCAAACUCCUACGGGAGGCAGCAGUGAGGAAUAUUGGUCAAUGGGCGAGAGCCUGAACCAGCCAAGUAGCGUGCAGGAUGACGGCCCUAUGGGUUGUAAACUGCUUUUAUAAGGGAAUAAAGUGAGUCUCGUGAGACUUUUUGCAUGUACCUUAUGAAUAAGGACCGGCUAAUUCCGUG
RNAcentral lists this ribosomal RNA (492 nucleotides) under uncultured bacterium. RNAcentral describes it as "bacterial SSU rRNA". It matches the Rfam family "Bacterial small subunit ribosomal RNA", at positions 28 to 507 of the family's 1533-position model. The record is from RNAcentral.